GAAAAACACGAUACAGAAAUCUAAAACACUACACAACUCUUAAAAAGAGGCAGCAAAGAUGUGUGUGAUUCAAGUUAAAGGAACAAAAACAUGCAUAAAUUCUGCUACGGUGUCUGGGGCCCAAACUAAAAGUGGUUUCAGGUCAGUUAUGGCGGCUUAAAGCUUCAGUCUGGAUCUGAGCAAACACCAUCGCUACAGAUAAAGUGUUUGCUGGUAGUUUUACAGCAGCUGAACCUUUUAAUGUCACCAAAGCAUGAAUGAAUCCUUCUAAUCCCGAGUGGUUAAACUGAUGUUACACCUUCGAUAGCUUUGUGUUUUUUGUUUAUUUACCGAUGCUCCUCGAUAAGAAGCAGCAUCAGGAUCUCAUAUUCUUUCAGUGUCACUGCCAUAUGAAUCAGUACUUAAAGUAGAAACAAUUAUUUAUUCUUUUUUUCAUAAUUUUUGCAGAGGCGAUACUGAUCAUUUAGGUGUAUUAUUAUUAUUAUUUAAAGUACCAUAUGUAUUAACAUGUUAUGGCUGGUGACCAUACGUACAUCUCAAAUAUUAACAUAGUUAUUGUUGACUGACUGUUUUUUUUCUUUUAUUUUGUUGUUGCUGUUGUUGAACUAUAAUCUCGUUUGUAUCUAUCGGUGUCAUGUUCAGAUUUUUCAUUUGGACUGUCGGAGAGCAGGUCCGUCACAGAUUCGGUUGCAAAAUUCAACUGUCAGCAAAAAAAAAAACUGCGACGUGUUAGUCUUUUCAGGAAGUAGACCGGUCCAUUCUGGGCUUUACAGUAAAAUUAGAAUUUGAGAUGUGGACUGUGAAUUUAGUGCUGUUGGUUUAUCACGGCCUAACUGGUCCUGUGUGGGAGAAGCUCUUUGGUUUAUGUAUAUGUUGUUUUAAAGGAUAAAUUUGGCAUUAUUCUAUAUUUUUUCUAAACGAUAAAGAGCCCAUAUUCCGUUUUCCAUAAUUCCUUUAGCCUUUUUGUGCAUGUAAAAGGUCAGCAAACGUAAAAAGCCCAAAGAAAACACAGAAAACUCUGCUCCUUACCUGCUUGAAAUGCCUCGUUUUAAGUCCAGGAGUUUCUUAUGUUACUUAAUGACAUCAUCGUGUAACACAUUUGCUAGCUAAGUGGCUAAUUUGACAUGCAAAACACAGAAAAGGCAUCUGCUUUGUAUAUUUUCCUCACUAGAGCUGCUUCCUUUCGAGCUACAUCCCUGUACUCAGAGGUUACUAAUCAACACUUCCUGUUUUUUGUCGGCUCAGCUGACCAAUCAGAGCAGACUUUGCUCCUCAGGAGGCGUUGCUUAUUGAGCCUGGAGCUGAAAUGAAGCGUUUCAGACAGAUGGUAAGAAGAGAAAUGUACAUUAAGAGGAAAAUAAUGUGUUUUUUGAACAUUAAAGCAUGUUAACAUAUUCUAGUAGACCACAAAAACACAAUUAUAAACCUUUAAAUGUGCAGAAUAUGGGCUCUUUAACGAAUCCCAUGAAAAGACUUGAUUCAAUAAUAUGUUACUCGCAGUACUUUACUGUAGUUUUCAACAAAAGUCACUCAAACAGGAGAGAAUCUGUUACAGACUAUUUUCAGCUGAGGUUUAAUACACGUUUUCUGCUCUAGUGGGUAUUUGUGGCAGCAGGAUGGAGUCAAAGUAAACUACGACGUGUUUACAGUAUUUAAAGAACACGCCACAUAUUUACUUGUUAGGAUCGACUAACGGCUCGUUUCUGUAUUUUUAUAUUCAGAAAAGGUAUCAGAACCUGCAGUCAAGCAACAUAAUCAAAGGGAUUAUCAAAACUAGUGUUUGUGCAGUAUUUUUUAUUUACGUUCAUAUCGCUGUGCCAUUUUUGAGUCAUAAAAGUGUUAGUGGAAAGUUCAGGAGAUUUAAACUAAAUCUCCUUCUUUUGUUUUCUAUAAAAUACUGUCUGGCAGCAUUCAAAUAACCCAAGUUCAUGUGAUUCUUCCAGGCGACAGAACAGUUCAGUUUCAGGAUUUGUUGUGUUUAGAAGCCGACGUCCUGCAGCGUCUAAAGAUUCGCCUCCUGAACUCAGAUCGAACCUGUGACGGGACAGCGGAGGGUUUCAGCUUUGAGGUCGGAUCAUUACACAUCUCUUCAAAACCAAAUGCUUGUUGUUUUUUUAAAUUUUCUAUUUGUUCUGAAUGCAUAUCAGCUCUGUGGGAGUGCUUCUAAUGCCGUGCACACUGCAGUAUUAACAGUUAGACAAACGCCUUGAUAUUCCAAAAACAUUUAAUGUACUUUAAGUCGAGACAUAUAUGCUGUUUUGUAUCUUUUUUUUUGUUGUCAUAGAUUCUGCAGUUUAGUCAGUUUAUGUCGAUAUGGGAUGCCAAGACUUCUUUUUGUUGUUUUUGUUUGUUUUUGUAAAUUCAGCAGUUCUGUAACAAAGUGUUACCGCUUGACUGUGCUCCUUUUACUUUACAUUUAGUUUUAUUUUAUCAAAGAGCCGAUGUCCUGUAUUGACUGCAGGCUUACGUAUAUAUUUGACAAAAAAAAGAAUAUUGUAUGUUUAAUAAUAAAAAUGAAAAAAACUCAAAAACGAAAAGAAAAAAUGCCGAAAAAAGAAACGAAGAAAAACCAGGAAGGACAAAAAAAAAUAAGUGUAAUUUAUAUUUUAAAAAACUGCAUGCACAAGGCUGGGAAAGUCAUAUUUAGAAUAACAAAUGGCAGUGCCUUUUUUGUACUCGAGACAUUUACCCCAAAUGUAAAUGGUUUUAUAUGGACUUUAAAAACUGUAACGUUGCAGGAAGAAACUAAAGACGGCCGGGUCGCGUUCACUCUGCAGCCAAGAGUCAGAAUUUAGAUUGUUUAACGUUCUGAUGUGAUCCAAGGAUUGUUUCAGGGAGUUAAUUAGCUGUUUUUUAAUAACUUUCUGAAUCAUUUUGAUGCCAAUAUUCUCAUAUUUUGAUUGUCUUUAUGAGAAGGGUGUAAAAAUGUUUAAAAAUGAUAAUUAAUUUAGCUCGUACUUGGUUCCAUUUCUUUCUCAUUCUGAUCAUUUAGUCCAUGUUUGGCCUAAUUAAUAACAAAUACAGUAAAACAAGGUUCUCUGCAUCUUCUAGAUAAAUCAGUCAUUUCUAGAGUACAAAAGGAGACUAAAGUCAAAUCAAAUUUCAUUUUUUUUGCAGCUAUGGAUUAUUUCCUUUAUCAGCUCAUCUGCUGAUUGUUUUUCUAAUUAACUGAUUGGUCCAAAAAAUGCAGAAAAUGAUCCGUCACAGUUUCCCAGAGCACUUAUUUAUCCAAUAAUGCCUCAAAUUUGCUGCUUUUCUGACCAAGUGUCUAAAACUUACAGAUGUUUAGUUCACUAUAAUGAAAGACAAACACAUUUGAGAUGCUCGAAUAUCAUUUAUUUGGCUUUAAUUGCGCUGCCUCCUAGACUGUAAUAGUCUUUAAAAAGCAACAUUUCACUGAAAAUAAUGUGAUUAUCUCGUUACUCUUUCACGUAACGGCAGAUCAGUUCCUCUGUUACAGACAGUUGAGCUGAAAACGUGUCAGGAAUCAGUCAGUGGACUCCUGAAGUGGAACAUUUAGCUGCAUCUUUCGCUGCGUCUUUAAAAACAUGCAUUAAAAUGUGCAUCAGAUCUUUAUCUGUGAUUCGAUGAGUGCUGCAGCUCCACCUGUAUCGUAGAGAGAGCCAGAAAUCUGCUCAUUAUGAUAAAAAACAUCACAUAUUUAGCACUUCCUGCUUCAUUCAGUCACAUUUCAGCCACUUUAUUCAUCAGAGUUACUGUUGAUGCUGUUCUAUUGGCAGGAGCAGCAUUUUCUGUUCAUUAGAAGCAGUAAAUUAUGAUGUCAUUGUAGUUAUUUUCUGCAUUAUAUAUGUAUACAUUGAUCUAUUUUACACAAAAAACAGUCUGAUGCACAGAUUUCUAAUUUCUACAACUGUUUCGACACUUUUUCUGAUUUAAAUGUUUGAAAAAGUGCAGCUUUGUUGCACCAGUUAAACUUCAUGGAGUAAAAUGUCAAAGCUCUCAGUUAAAUUUAGUAAUUUUUUGGAUGUUUUCCACUAAUUAACACAGCUUCUUAUCAGAUACGAGCUGCUUUAAAACUCUAAAUGUCUUGACUCUGGUUCUGCAGCGCGACCGUGAACCCGGACGUUGCUUUCUGCACUCAGUAGGUACUUCUUAAUGCUGAUAUGAAGUUAUGAAUUAUUCUGGUCUGUAUAAAAACAGAGGUGUGUGUGUGUGUGUGUGUGUGUGUGUGUGUGUGUGUGUGUGUGUGUGUGUGUGUGUGUGUGUGUGUGUGUGUGUGUGUGUGUGUGUGUGUGUGUGUGUGUGUGUGUGUGUGUGUGUGUGUGUGUGUGUCUGUGUGUGUCUGUGUGUGUCUGUGUGUCUGUGUGUGUGUCUGUGUGUGUGUCUGUGUCUGUGUGUCUGUGUGUCUGUGUGUGUCUGUGUGUCUGUGUGUCUGUGUGUGUCUGUGUGUGUG
Molecule: long non-coding RNA, 4414 nt
Organism: Amphiprion ocellaris (clown anemonefish)
Lineage: Eukaryota; Metazoa; Chordata; Actinopteri; Pomacentridae
Source: Ensembl